This 253-nucleotide ribosomal RNA is filed under the name uncultured bacterium. RNAcentral describes it as "partial 16S ribosomal RNA". It matches the Rfam family "Bacterial small subunit ribosomal RNA", at positions 524 to 776 of the family's 1533-position model. The record is from RNAcentral.
UACGUAGGGUGCAAGCGUUGUCCGGAUUUAUUGGGCGUAAAGAGCUCGUAGGCGGUUCGAUAAGUCGGGUGUGAAACCUCCAGGCUCAACCUGGAGACGCCACCCGAUACUGUCGUGACUAGAGUCCAGUAGGGAGCGUGGAAUUCCUGGUGUAGCGGUGAAAUGCGCAGAUAUCAGGAGGAACACCAGCGGCGAAGGCGGCGCUCUGGGCUGGCACUGACGCUGAGGAGCGAAAGCGUGGGUAGCGAACAGG